This 27-nucleotide non-coding RNA is filed under the name Mus musculus (house mouse). Lineage: Eukaryota; Metazoa; Chordata; Mammalia; Rodentia; Muridae. The record is from RNAcentral.
UAUCGAUCGAGUGCCGCACUGCUGUUA